Molecule: unclassified non-coding RNA, 1797 nt
Filed under: Hevea brasiliensis (rubber tree)
Lineage: Eukaryota; Viridiplantae; Streptophyta; Magnoliopsida; Malpighiales; Euphorbiaceae
Source: RNAcentral
AAAGUACUACAAAUAAGAGUUUAUUCAUUAAAGUAACAAACAAAAAUUCCAUAUCACAUCGUCUUUAUUUGGGUUUUGACCAAUAGUUUCCAAUUCUUUUUAAGGUUCAAAUGCGAAGCGCAAACACAAAUUAGUUUACAGGAAUUUUACCAAAUUACAUUUCCACAGCCACACGUUUGUACAAUUCUGAAGGCAGCCGAGGGGUUGCCACUGCUUGUAAUGGGGUUUUCAUGAAUGUGACCAAUCCAGGAUUUUCUGACAUAUCAAUUUCCCCUGGCUUCACACCAUCAGGUGGUGUCCAACGAAAAUGGUGCAAUAAGUGACCUAACAUAGACGUGACCAAAUUGAUACCAAGUUGUGUACCAGGGCACACCCUCCUCCCAGCACCAAAUGGAAGUAGCCGGAAAUCAUGACCCUUCAUGUCAACAUCCUCCUCGAGGAACCUCUCCGGUCGAAACUCUUCUGGGUUCUUCCAGACUGCUGGAUCACGAGCUACAGCCCAUACAUUUACAAGAACAUUUGAUCCCUUAGGUAUAUCAUAGCCACCAAUCUUGACAUUAGAAUUGGCACGGUGAGGAAGCAUUAGCGGUGUUGGAGGAUGCAACCUUAGUCCCUCUUUAGCCACACAUUGUAGGUAAGGGAGACUUGAGAAAUCAGCCUCAGUCAACACUCGUUCGAACCCAAUGACACGGUCUAGCUCCUCUUGAGCCUUCUGUUGCACCCUUGGGUUCUUAAUUAGCUCAGCCAUUGCCCAUUCUACAGUGAUUGCAGUUGUGUCCAUGCCAGCAGUAAUCAUAUCCCAAAGGAGUCCAAUAAUUGUGUCCUCACUAAGGUCAUAUUUCUCCUGUAAUGUAAGCAAUGCAUCAACAAAAUGUUGCUUGGCACCUCCACUCUUCUGGCGAGCAAGUGUAUGUUCUUCCAUAAUAGCUCGAGUGAGACGGUCCCUUCGAGCACCAUGCUUGGCGAAAGCCUCCUCCUCUAGUGGGAACAUCCAGCGAAGCCAUGGAAUGUGCUCUGCCAUGGCAAGUGAUGCACCUAGCUUAAGACCGUUGGCCACAAUUGCCUUAAAUUCUUGGCCUUGCUCGUCAAUUAUGCCCUCCGAGUUCACAAAUCGCUUACCAAAUGCAAGCCUUGUUAUGUUGUUGAAUGCAACUGCUCCCAAAUACUUCUUCACUAGCAAACUUUUGCCAUUGGUUUCAGGAUUGGUGCAGUCGUUGAAAAUGGAUUCAACCAUGGCAGUGACCUCAUCUUCCCUAAUGGGUUUCAAAGCCUCGAGUCUCUUAGGUGUAAAAAGCUCAAGUGUACACACUUUCCUAGCCUUCACAUAGUGAGGUCCAUAGUCAGCCCAUAUAAGAUCCUGCCCAUCUUUGCUAAACUUUGCAGCUGACCUACUCCGAUGCCGAUCAGCUAACUGUUGAUCAUGUUCCUUCAGCACUUCUUUCGCCAAUUCUGUAUUCGAAACGAUCACAUUUAAAGUUGAACCAAGCCAAACUGAAAUGAUCGGACCAUAAGACUUAGCCCACUCGGCGUAGCAUCGGAACCUAACUGGCUUGACGUCGUAGAGGUUGCCGACGAUCGGCCAAGGGCGUGGGCCGGGGGCGAGUUUGAAGCGGAUGCGGAAGUAGAGUUUGUAUGCUAAGAGGAGGAGGAGGAGGAUUGAUAUUGGUAUUAGAAGAAGAGCCAUAUUGAGGAAAGAGAGAGAGAAGAAAAGAUGGGGUUGAGAUGUUUUAAGCAAAAGAAAUGGUAGGAGAGGUGUUGAUAUAUAAGAGAUGGGGAGUUGGUGAAAUGGAUUUGUUA